UAGCAGCAGCAGUGAAGAUGCUGCAAGCAGUAACCAAAAAGAAAGAAAUGUAAAUCACACCACCUCAAAGAUUUCAUGGGAAUUCCCUGAGUCAAGUUCAUCUGAAGAAGAGGAAAACCUGGAUGAUUAUGACUGGUUUGCUGGUAACAUCUCCAGAUCACAAUCUGAACAGUUACUCAGACAAAAGGGAAAAGAAGGAGCAUUUAUGGUUAGAAAUUCGAGCCAAGUGGGAAUGUACACAGUGUCCUUAUUUAGUAAGGCUGUGAAGCAUGAUCACACGGCUCCGCCACCCUGUGUCAACAAAGGCCAACAAGGUCCCCGACUCUGUGUCCCUGGGAAAUGGAAUCUGGGAACUGAAAAGAGAAGAGAUUACCUUGUUGAAGGAGCUGGGAAGUGGCCAGUUUGGAGUGGUCCAGCUGGGCAAGUGGAAGGGGCAGUAUGAUGUUGCUGUUAAGAUGAUCAAGGAGGGCUCCAUGUCAGAAGAUGAAUUCUUUCAGGAGGCCCAGACUAUGAU
This 514-nucleotide small RNA is filed under the name Pan troglodytes (chimpanzee). RNAcentral's name for it is "processed transcript". Lineage: Eukaryota; Metazoa; Chordata; Mammalia; Primates; Hominidae. The record is from RNAcentral.